UCCGUAGGCGGGCAGCUAAGUCAGUGGUGAAAGUCUGCAGCUCAACUGUAGAAUUGCCAUUGAUACUGGUUGUCUUGAAUUAUUAUGAAGUGGUUAGAAUAUGUAGUGUAGCGGUGAAAUGCAUAGAUAUUACAUAGAAUACCAAUUGCGAAGGCAGAUCACUAAUAGUAUAUUGACGCUGAUGGACGAAAGCGUGGGGAGCGAACAGGAUUAGAUACCCUGGUAGUCC
This 229-nucleotide ribosomal RNA is filed under the name uncultured bacterium. Its description in RNAcentral is "partial 16S ribosomal RNA". It matches the Rfam family "Bacterial small subunit ribosomal RNA", at positions 568 to 796 of the family's 1533-position model. The record is from RNAcentral.